Peromyscus californicus insignis is the source of this 7163-nucleotide long non-coding RNA. RefSeq lists it as uncharacterized. The record is from RefSeq and is a predicted model, not a curated record. NCBI's taxonomy places the organism in Eukaryota, Metazoa, Chordata, Mammalia, Rodentia, Cricetidae. The transcript is spliced from 2 exons.
AGCUCCUGUGUCUACCCCACUCAGUGGGUCCUGUCCCUCAGGCUACCCUGGAAGUUCAGAGCCAUACUCAGAUCACAUGGGACUCUGCCAACUGCCUACCCGGUGGUCCUGGCCUCACACCUGCUGCCCCGCUGUUCAAACCAGAAGCAGCUCUUAUGUGGAUAGCAGCAGGACCUCUAGCAUCCUCUGCUUCCUCCUCUCCCUCUGCUGGGCUGCCCAAGGACCACCCAUCAGGGCUUCAGAGACCAUCGGGAGCUGUCUCAGGUUGAAGCCAGAAGCCAUCCUGAAGGUACUAUCCCCAACCCCCAAGGGCCUGGCUGUAUCUUCUGUUCCCCUGGAUGACUCUACCCACCUUGUCCGAGUAUGGGUUCAUCACAGGCCUGUAGGGUCACGUGGCUAGCAGCCCCAACCCACAGCCCUGGUAAUAGGCAGUGAUGCACCUGGUACCCCAUAAAGAAGCUUCCUGUGGUCAGGCAGCGGUGGCGCAUGCCUUUAAUCCCAGCACUUGGGAGGCAGAGCCAGGUGGAUCUCUGUGAGUUCGAGGCCAGCCUGGGCUACAGAGUAAGAUCCAGGAAUGGCACCAAAACUACACAGAGAAACCUUGUCUCGAAAAAAACAAAAAAAAAAAAAAGAGAGAGAGAGAAAGAAAAGAAAGAAAGAACGGAAGGAAGGAAGGAAGGAAGGAAGGAAGGAAGGAAGGAAGGAAGGAAGGAAGAAAGAAAGAAAGCAAGAAAGAAAGAAAGAAAGAAAGAAAGAAAGAAAGAAAGAAAGAAAGAAAGAAAGAAAGAAAGAAAAAGAAAAAAAGAAGCUUCCUGUGGAGUCCCUGGGGCCACUCAGUGGGCCAUCCACUGCCAACAGGACCCCUGCUUAACCAGACCACUUCUCAGAUGAGAUCAAGGCCCAAGACAAAGUGGCCUGGCCAGGACCAAGAAUCUGGUUAGAAUCUGGUUACGGCAAGAUCAAAACCAGGCCCGGACCACAUGCCAGAUUGUUCAUUCACUCACACCCUAAGGGGUAGGCCUGGCUGCCCUACCCAUUGGAGAGAUGAGGAAAUAGGCCCAGAGCAGUGAAGCCACUUGCCCAAUGACACACAGCUAAGAACAGGAACAGGAAUGAGAUUCCCGAGCUGGACCUCUACCCACCAGCUCUGCUGAGAUUGCUGGUGUGCUUGGUGGUGGUGGUGGUGGUGGUGGUGGUGGUGGUGGUGGUGUGUGUGUGUGAAACAUCCAGCAGCAGAGACCUGAGCAUGGCCCUCCCUCAGCAGACAUCAGCUUCCUUCUUCGUCAAAGAGACCUUCUCCUCCCACAGCCACAGACCCUGAGCAACAAAGACGCAGGGAAGAAAUGGCGGAAGCAUGCCGGCCAUCGCCAAGGGAUGGGAGACCUAGGGGACCAGCGACCAGGAGCUCGUGGGGCAGGCAAGGCACAGGCCCGGCACCACAGGGCCACCAGGAGACUAGAAAGACAGGCAGAAGCCAGGCACCUCAGAGGCCUGCGCUCUGCCAAGCAGACCGUCCACACACCACGGCACCUGCCGAGCUCAGUAGCUGCCUGGCCUAGGACACGGACAAACAGAAGAGAGGGACAAGGAGACGGGAGCUCGGGACACCCACGAGGCCCAGGCAAACCCAAACCCUCGCAAACGCGCCCAAGCUCUGGACGAGUCUAAGGAUACCUUCCUGGAAGUUAUUUUGUAAAGUAACUAGCUCCCAACUCCUCUUAGGAAAAGCCACAUUUUCAGACUGGGCUUGCGUAAAGCGAUGUGGCCCUCCUGGCUCUCUGGGUGCAUCUGUGUCGUGCACCCGCUGUGAGCACCGCAGGGGUAGGGGGAGCUUGACUGCAGUUCCCCACCCCCCAGCACAAGGCAGGUAGGUAUACAGUAGGUGGUCAGUAAAUGCAGCAGUCAACGCCAACUGUCAGUGCUCACGUCCCCGGGUCCGUGAUCAGGCAGCAGGCACCGGCUGCUGCCAUCUUCAGGCCUUCUGAGGAACCUCCUCGGUGAAGGUCAGAGCCAUCGGUGGCCACAGCCCUGAGAAGGGAAAACUGAAGCCAAAGAAGGCAAUGGCCUGGACCGAGGCCUCAGCACACCCCAUCGCCUUCUAGAGCGCCCCUUCUAUCCAGACUCAUUGACUGCUGCAGGUUCCCAGGCCCCUCAUCAGGGUGCCAUCCUCUGCCCCCUCCUCUCCACGGUCCGACAUGUGCUAUUCUCCUAGCUCAGUGGUUCUCAACCUUCCUAUUGCUGCAACCCCUUAAUACAGUUCCUCAUGUUGUGGUGACCCCCCCCCCCAACCAUGAAAUCAUUUUCAUCGCUACUCCAUAACUGUAAUUUCGCCACAGUUAUGAAUCGUAACUCAAACAUCUGAUAUGUGACCCCUGUGAAAGGGUCAUUUGACCCCCUCCCUCCCCCGAAGAGGUCGCGACCCACAGGUUGAGAACCACUGCCCCGGGUGCUGGCACUUCAGGCAUCAGCUUGCAAGGUGCCACCAUAGGCUGUCCAAACAUGCUUCCAGCUCAGCAGGCCCACACUGCUGCUCCGCCUCAAGCACCCCCACAUGUCAAGGUCACCAUCGCCUGCCAUCUGGUUAGCUUUAUCGACAACGCUGCCUCUCCCACCGGGUGAUGAGACCCACUUCACGGUCCAGCCCUUUGCUCUCCACCUGCAACCUCUCGACACUGCCUGCAAGACAGAGCCUUCCAGAAGGCUGCUCUGGGGCUGCCUGAGCCUCUCAAAAUCAACUGGGGUUCUGCAGUCCUGGGGAUGGACCCUCGCUCCUGAAAGUGAUAGGAAGCAUCUAUGAUAAGAGCCUAUGUCUUCCUCCGACCUCUGCUGUGAACCUCCCCAGGACCGGCCCCGUCACCGCCUCCAGGAUGUGUUUCCCCAGCCCAGGUUUCUCUACUGAAUUGUCCCGCACUUGGCAGCUCAGCACCCAAGGCCCACGGUUUCCCCUCUAGAGGGCCAGGGCAGUAUGGGUGUGACUCUGUGUCGCAGCAUGAAGCCAACACAGAGAAGGAACCCUGGAGGGGAAAGUGAGAAAGCAAAAGGACCACGUGCCCUCUCCGGCAGGUCCCCACCAGUCCUACCCUCAGCACAGUGGGCGUUCUCACUUCUUCUGCACCCGACAACAGGCUCCAUGUGGUUCUUAUCGCAACUCUAGGGCCUUGACCAGCAUGCUGAUCACGUGCCAGCCCGGCUUGGACCUGCUCAGGACGGACGGUCAGGCCAGGUGGGUGCCAAGGGACAGGGAAAAGAGAAGGACGUGGAGAGAGCUUCUGAGAUGAGCUUCGUCUGCAAUGUGCAGCUGACACAGCUGUCCUCUCGUCCGUGGGCCCCCACUCACACACGGGCAGGCAGAGGCUCCGACAGCAAGGCAGGCAGCUGUCCCGGAGCUAACCCCUGCCUGCAUCUGCUCCUGAGAGGCACAAGGGCCUCUGAACAGAGGAGGGAAAGAACAUCGGAUUGCAUCCCAGGAGCCACGGGCUCCGAGACAAGGACAGCAAGCAGGCACCUGCAACCUGGACCCACACUCUCGCUCCGAAACCUCCAGCUGCGUGACCUUGGGCAGCCUGGGCAGCUUCUCUGGGCCGGCUUCCUCGUGGGUCUCUAGGGACACAAUGUUAGAUGAAAUCAGAGCAGCGCACACUGCCGAGCACCUCGUGAAUCAGGCCCUUUCAGGGUCCUCCUCACAAAAGCCUGCUCAGAGCCCUGCAGCCGUAAACUAGGGCAGCAGACCUGUUAGCCCGUGCAGUGCCCUGCAUGGCGACCUCAAGCCUUGCACAAUGACCUCACGCUACAGGUUCCCCCUGGCUCUGCCCUUGCCUUCCACCCUUCAAAGGCAGCUGGGCUGCUCGGCUUCUAGUCCAGCUGUUUCUGCACGUGAGUCUGUCGCAGCAGCAGCAGCAGCAGCAGCAGCUCCAGACUGCGGCCUUCCCUUCCGCUCAGAGAGCAAGCCCUCACCCUGGAUCCGACCCGCCCUUCCCUCCCCGUGUGCCGCCACCUAACAGCGCCACCGGACUGCUGCAGCAGCUGCCCCCAGGAAGCCCCCUCCUGACCGCCAGCCUCAGCCUAUCCCCGCCCCCAGCAGUCGCCUGGCACCUCCCCAGCUCCCUGGGGAUUUGACAAGCCCCCGUGGCUGGAACCUGGAUGAACUGCAUCCUCUCAGCAUAAACUACCUCUCACUACACACAUACACAAAUGCUUAUGUGCCACGUUAUGCAUGUACACGUGCCACACAAACGUAUACAUGCAAGCCUGUGUGUGCUGUGCACAUACAUAUGCAUAUCCAUGUACACAUACAUGUCAUACAUAUGUACACGUAUGCCACAUACACUUGUGCUCACCUAUACAUACAUAUACACCAUCCCCCCACCCCCCGCUCGUGCUGGGCCCUCUGGAUAUGGCCCUUGUUUUGACCCCUCUCUUGACCCUGCCCUUCCCUACCACUCUCCCUCACUCCAGAACUCUCCAGAAUGGCGUCAAGCCCCCUUUCCAUCCCGCUCCUCUUCCCCUCUGCAUUGGUGUUUGGUUCCGAAAUGCCACACCCACACCACAGCUCUCGCAUGCCCAGCAUGUUCCCUACGGCUAGAAGACACCACGGAAUCCUGACUUCUCCUCGGGGCCUUCCUCACGCUCCCCUCCAGACCUCCCCAGUGCUGCGGCCUUGUAAACAUCUCGCUGUCUAACGUUAGCGUCUGCUCACACCUCUUGGCCUACCCAGAGAUUGCCACAGCCCAUUGGGCUGGCAACUGCUGUUUCCCACCAGGGACUCCAAGCUGCCUCCUACAGGAAGUCCUCCAGCCCGGCAGGCACCAGUCAUCCCAGAAGGCUUGGUCUCUGAGUCUGCCCUCCUCCUUGGCCUUGGGAAUCCUGGUCUCAGAGGCCUUGUCUUUCGGCCUCUGGACCCAGCUACCUGCACGAUCUCCUUCCAAAUAGGGCCCAGAGCUGUCUCUCCCGUGCUGUCCCAGCUUUGAGGGGGCUGCUCAGUCUACAGUGACCCUCUUAGCCAUCACUUCUUCCAUCCCCGUGAGCACUCAGAGUCACACACCUGAGCUCCUGCCCCGUCCUCAGAGCCCCUGACUCCCGUUGGUUAAAAUGAAAACGCACAUCUAUCUAGACUCAUUACUUCACCUCUCCCUGGUCCCAGCCACCCUGCAAGGCCUUCCUCGGUGAAGCAAAAAUAUAAGGGUUUAAAGACACCACUGAAACCUCAAAGAAGCCCCAAGGUACAGAGAGGGGAAACUGAGGCAGAGAGGUGCUCCUCCAAGCCACUGAGGACAGGGCUUAUGACCUGGACUGCCUCCCUGCCUACUAAAGCUAGACCCUGGGGGCGGGGGCAAAACCCACAUGGAAGGGCGGGGGCGGGGGCCAGUGAUGGUAAGAGAGGUGGGUCAUUAGCCUCCCUGGCCAGCAGCCUUGACCUAACCCCCCCGAGAGCCCCCAUGUGGAAACCCAGAGGAAGGUCCAUGGUUGGCUGGCACAGAUCCCACCCACACCUGGGGACAAGUGCAUCUGCCUUCUCCCUCCCUAGGGACCUGGGCUCCUGGGACUGAACCACCUGAACAGGCCAGGGCCUCUGAGCAGGUCCCUGGUGGCGAAGUGUGAGCUGCCCAUAGCCCAGAGACACAAGGAGAGACUCUCUGAGUAGCUGUCUAUUCCACAGACAGGAAACUGAGGCCCACAGGCCUGUCACAUCUCCCCAAAGUGGCCCAGUGUCCCGAUCCUCUGGGGCUACCCCUGGAAGAAAGAAUACCCACUCUUCCCAUGAGCCCCACACCUAACCAGAGCAGACAGCAGCGAGGGUCGGCUUCCAAACCACAAGUUCCCACACCCUGCCCGUCUCUAGGCCUGUCAACAUGGCUCCCAGCCCCUGCCUUUCUUCUUCCUGUCUUGGGGAGAUCCAGUGAGGUUUGCUAAGCCAGAAUCACUCUCAACUCACAAAUCGCCAUACUUGCAAGGGACUGCCGGUUCCCAAAGCGAAAGCCACCACGGUAAGUCACUCAUCAUUCUGCUCCUCCAGGCCCUAGUCCAUGCCUUGGGGCAGGAGUGAGGGACCCGUGGAGAGCAGACAGGCAUGGCACUGCCCUGAGGAAGCUCACGGCUUCUGGGGAGACCCGCAGGAGACCAGACGUUUGUCUGUGAGACAUGGUGCGUGGGGGUGGGGCUAUGGGGCUUCGGGCUUCGGGACAGCAUCCUAGAGCAGGCCAGGAUGAGACUCCAGAGCAAGGAUCACCUCCUUCUCCAGCUCAUGGAAGACAAGGAGCUCAGGGGACAUGACUCACCCAGCGAAGGGGGGCGUGGCUGCCUGACAAGCCAGGGCCAUCCCUACUGUUCUUCACAGAGCUAGGAGGUGGGACUGUCGCUGUCUCUGCUCUAAAAGUGAGGGAACUGAGUCCCAGAGGUCGGAAGCAACUGGCCUCAGACCCUCUCACUCUCAGGCAGCAAAGCUGGUGGUCUGUAGGCUUUCCUAUCCGUCCCGGGGUCUCUGAAGUGGCGGAUGGCAGUUGCUAGAACACACUCCCUCUGAUCUAAGGGCUGAGUGACUGCAUUGAAGCCAGAGGCUCCCAGAGCCAGCAGAGCAAGAGGAGGCCCAGCCACAGUUUUGGAGACCCGAACCCCGCAGGCACUCUGGAGCCAUGGCCACAGCUGGGUCACAAACUCACCUGGAAUCAGCCACCGCAAGCCAGGACUGGGCAGGAGCAAAGGCCAGCCUUACCCGGAGGCACAGGGAGGGUAUUUCUGUGUCACCGGGCAGAGCCCACCUCAGCCCUCCCCGUAACACACGCCAACGAGGGGUAUGAAUUUCUGCAUCCUUAACUUCCCAAAUGUUAACAGGCUCAUAAACAUUAAGAUAUUCUUCCUCAGCCCCACGACACCCUGCAUUUGUUUAAUUUUGUUUUUCCUCCCUCCCUCCCCCAGCAUCCAUCCGCGAGCGAUGGUGAGAGACAUGAAAAGCUGCAGACUCCAGUGUCUGCCUGCCAAGUGGGUCUACCAUUCCCUCCCCACCCCCUGCCCUGGGUGGGGGGGAAAGGGGAGAGCCCCCAACACACUCAUACACACACACACACACACACACACACACACACACACAUACACACACACGUAUGCAUGCACGCAUACACACACACACACACACACACACACACACACACACACACACACACACGAAA